CCUACGGGUGGCAGCAGUGGGGAAUAUUGCACAAUGGGCGCAAGCCUGAUGCAGCCAUGCCGCGUGUGUGAAGAAGGCCUUCGGGUUGUAAAGCACUUUCAGCGGGGAGGAAGGCGUUAAGGUUAAUAACCUUGGCGAUUGACGUUACCCGCAGAAGAAGCACCGGCUAACUCCGUGCCAGCAGCCGCGGUAAUACGGAGGGUGCAAGCGUUAAUCGGAAUUACUGGGCGUAAAGCGCACGCAGGCGGUCUGUCAAGUCGGAUGUGAAAUCCCCGGGCUCAACCUGGGAACUGCAUUCGAAACUGGCAGGCUAGAGUCUUGUAGAGGGGGGUAGAAUUCCAGGUGUAGCGGUGAAAUGCGUAGAGAUCUGGAGGAAUACCGGUGGCGAAGGCGGCCCCCUGGGCAAAGACUGACGCUCAGGUGCGAAAGCGUGGGGAGCAAACAGGAUUAGAUACCCUUGUAGUC
RNAcentral lists this ribosomal RNA (465 nucleotides) under uncultured Klebsiella sp. RNAcentral describes it as "bacterial SSU rRNA". It matches the Rfam family "Bacterial small subunit ribosomal RNA", at positions 338 to 795 of the family's 1533-position model. Lineage: Bacteria; Pseudomonadati; Pseudomonadota; Gammaproteobacteria; Enterobacterales; Enterobacteriaceae. The record is from RNAcentral.